AUUGAACGCUGGCGGCAUGCCUUACACAUGCAAGUCGAACGGCAGCACGGGUGCUUGCACCUGGUGGCGAGUGGCGAACGGGUGAGUAAUACAUCGGAACAUGUCCUGUAGUGGGGGAUAGCCCGGCGAAAGCCGGAUUAAUACCGCAUACGAUCUACGGAUGAAAGCGGGGGACCUUCGGGCCUCGCGCUAUAGGGUUGGCCGAUAGCUGAUUAGCUAGUUGGGGGGGUAAAGGCCUACCAAGGCGACGAUCAGUAGCUGGUCUGAGAGGACGACCAGCCACACUGGGACUGAGACACGGCCCAGACUCCUACGGGAGGCAGCAGUGGGGAAUUUUGGACAAUGGGCGAAAGCCUGAUCCAGCAAUGCCGCGUGUGUGAAGAAGGCCUUCGGGUUGUAAAGCACUUUUGUCCGGAAAGAAAUCCUUGGCUCUAAUACAGUCGGGGGAUGACGGUACCGGAAGAAUAAGCACCGGCUAACUACGUG
RNAcentral lists this ribosomal RNA (486 nucleotides) under uncultured bacterium. RNAcentral describes it as "partial 16S ribosomal RNA". It matches the Rfam family "Bacterial small subunit ribosomal RNA", at positions 30 to 507 of the family's 1533-position model. The record is from RNAcentral.